CCUACGGGUGGCUGCAGUGAGGAAUAUUGGUCAAUGGUCGAGAGCCUGAACCAGCCAAGUCGCGUGAAGGAUGACUGCCCUAUGGGUUGUAAACUUCUUUUGUCAGGAGCAAUUGGGUCCACCCUGUGCCUUAUUGAGAGUACCUUAAGAAAAAGCAUCGGCUAACUCCGUGCCAGCAGCCGCGGUAAUACGGAGGAUUCGAGCGUUAUCCGGAUUUAUUGGGUUUAAAGGGUUCGUAGGCGGAAUUUUAAGUUAGGCGGGAAAAUUUGGGGCUCAACCCCAGCAUGGCCGUUAAAACUGUCGUUCUUGAGUGGGCGAGAAGUAUGCGGAAUGCGUGGUGUAGCGGUGAAAUGCAUAGAUAUCACGAAGAACUCCGAUUGCGAAGGCAGCAUAC
RNAcentral lists this ribosomal RNA (394 nucleotides) under uncultured bacterium. Its description in RNAcentral is "partial 16S ribosomal RNA". It matches the Rfam family "Bacterial small subunit ribosomal RNA", at positions 338 to 729 of the family's 1533-position model. The record is from RNAcentral.